UUUGCGGGAGAGACUUUUUUAGCGCCGAAGGAGCAACCGCCCUCGGAAACUCUCAGGCAAAAAGGACCGCAGGUA
This 75-nucleotide non-coding RNA is filed under the name marine eukaryotic metagenome. RNAcentral's name for it is "Glycine riboswitch". It matches the Rfam family "Glycine riboswitch aptamer", at positions 9 to 86 of the family's 94-position model. Rfam says of the family: This family represents the bacterial glycine riboswitch. Glycine riboswitches usually consist of two metabolite-binding aptamers domains with similar structures in tandem. The record is from RNAcentral.